CAGCAGCCACGGUAAUACGUAGGUGGCAAUCGUUGUCCGGAAUUAUUGGGCGUAAAGGGCUCGCAGGCGGUUUCUUAAGUCUGAUGUGAAAGCCCCCGGCUCAACCGGGGAGGGUCAUUGGAAACUGGGAAACUUGAGUGCAGAAGAGGAGAGUGGAAUUCCACGUGUAGCGGUGAAAUGCGUAGGGAUGUGGAGGAACACCAGUGGCGAAGGCGACUCUCUGGUCUGUAACUGUCGCUGAGGAGCGAAAGCGUGGGGAGCGAACAGGAUUAGAUACCCGAGUAGUCCCUGUCUCUUAUAC
This 301-nucleotide ribosomal RNA is filed under the name uncultured bacterium. RNAcentral describes it as "partial 16S ribosomal RNA". It matches the Rfam family "Bacterial small subunit ribosomal RNA", at positions 509 to 807 of the family's 1533-position model. The record is from RNAcentral.